GAGGUAAUAGUAUAAAUAAGUAUAUUUCUUUUUCGCAGAAGUGGUUUUCUAUCUUA
This 56-nucleotide transfer RNA is filed under the name Caenorhabditis tropicalis. Its description in RNAcentral is "tRNA-Glu". The record is from RNAcentral. Lineage: Eukaryota; Metazoa; Nematoda; Chromadorea; Rhabditida; Rhabditidae.